RNAcentral lists this ribosomal RNA (253 nucleotides) under uncultured bacterium. RNAcentral describes it as "partial 16S ribosomal RNA". It matches the Rfam family "Bacterial small subunit ribosomal RNA", at positions 524 to 776 of the family's 1533-position model. The record is from RNAcentral.
UACGUAGGGGGCCAGCGUUGUCCGGAUUUACUGGGCGUAAAGGGCGCGUAGGCGGCCUGUCAAGUCAACUGUGAAAUCUCCGGGCUUAACUCGGAACGGUCAGUUGAUACUGUCAGGCUAGAGUGCAGAAGGGGCAAUCGGAAUUCUUGGUGUAGCGGUGAAAUGCGUAGAUAUCAAGAGGAACACCUGAGGUGAAGACGGGUUGCUGGGCUGACACUGACGCUGAGGCGCGAAAGCCAGGGGAGCAAACGGG